This is a long non-coding RNA of Sus scrofa (pig), 3140 nucleotides long. RefSeq lists it as uncharacterized. The record is from RefSeq and is a predicted model, not a curated record. NCBI's taxonomy places the organism in Eukaryota, Metazoa, Chordata, Mammalia, Artiodactyla, Suidae.
CUGGCCCCCGCCCCCGCUUCUUCCCGUGGGAUGGGAGUGGGGUGAGGUUUGGGGGAGGGCUCCUGCGGGCAGAGAAAGAGCGAGAAAAAGUUAAGGAAGCCCAAACAGAACUAAAGUUUCUGCUCUCCUGCGUCCUCCUCCGUCGGGCUUGGCCCUUGGGGCUGGGACCUCAGCUCGGGACCGCCCGUCACGGAAGUUGGCUGAGUUGCAAGUUCCCUCUGGGGACUGACGGGGAAUCACCAGUGUCUGGGGCGGGCCAGGGAGGAGGUCACCAUGACUUUGGGGCUGCUUGGGAGAAGGAGGUUCCGAGGAGAUUAGGGGUCGCGGGAGGAGGCAGCUGGUAACCAAAGGCGCUCGGCUCCCUGACCAGGGAGUGCGGCCUGGGCCUGGCUGGGUGGGCGGCUCCUGGGUUAUCAACUCAAGGGCUGCAAGGCUUUGGCCUUGGAGCCGGUUCGACUGCUUUGCUCCAGGCCCUGGUGGCCCUCGCUUGCCAGUUGACCUUGCCCCCACGAAAACAGGGAAAAUUCUCAGAGAGAAAGCGGGAACCCGCUGGCCCACGGCGGUUUGGGGGAGUCGCGCAUCAACCGGGAAACCAGGACAACAGACGUGCCAAAAUCCGACCCAGGGAAGUGUCCUUUACAGGGCGAAUGAACCGGGGGCAUUUUUGAGAGGAGACGAGGGACCCGUCUAUGUUUUAGUUAUGAUUUUUAAUACAGGGAAGCGAGAAAUAAGGCACAAGGAAACGGAAUCUGCAGAAUAACUUGUCUUUCCGGUCGCCCCGCAUUUUCCCCUGGACCGAACCUCGGGUUUUGACUUUGCGAAGGGCUGGAGCCUGGCCGGGAAAGGACCUGAGCUCCGGCCGCCCUGGCGUGGAGGAGUGAGAAGGCUGGAUCUCGCUUCUAGGGAGGCCCAAGCCGCGGCUGCUAGAAGGCGACUUCGGCGAGAAAUCUGCCGAAUUCUCUCAUCCAGAGGGCGAGAGAGAAGGCGCGGGGGGUCCCUGAACCCCGGGAAAACUGGAAGAGAAAGGUGUAACGUGUGCCUCGCGGCCCGGGCAGCCAGGGGAGAUUUGAAAUGGUUUCGUGUUUUCCUUUGCAGGGGUCGCCAUGGGCUCGGCACGGGGCUUGGCCCGGGCAAGGUUAGGCUGUUUAGGCCCCAGACGAGACUUGGGACGGCCUGGGCGGCAGUCAAUCCAGGAGCCAUUUGUCCCACCGCCCACCCCUCGGGAAACGCGGAGACUUUAUGGCCACUCUGUUUGUAUUAUCUGCAUAAGUCUUUCCCUACCAGUUUGAUCGAAACUGUUCGCUUUUACGAGGACCCAACGAAAAUUCCCCGUCAUAUUUAUCAGCCGGGGAUAAAAAUUUAGUAUGGGAACUGAUAUUUCCUCAUUUAUGGGGCGAUGAAAUUAAAGACCAAAGCAAUUGAGAAUUAUAUGGCUUUGGGGGGUUCCCUCCCCCCUCUUUCACAUCUCCUUUCUUUUCCUGCCUGCUGUGCCUGUUCCUGCAGUUUGGCGUCCCAGUCCCUAGCCCUUGCCCCCCAUUUUGGGGUCUGCUGAGCCCUCUCCCCCACACCCAGGUGCCACUGCUUGUUCACCUCAGCUUUUCCUGGUUUUUCUCUCGGUGUUGGUAGCCGGAGGCCCGGACAGCGCUCCCUGAGCCUCUGCCCAGGCCAGGCUGGGAUCAGCUGGGGCUGCGGAAGGUUUCGAAGAGCCUCGAAAGGGAAGGGUCUGAGCCCAGCCUGGGAGGGGGUGAGAGAGGCAGCAGAGUAGAGGGAGACAAACUCCAGAUAACCUCUCAAAAACAUCAAGCCCCACAGGCUUAACCUGGGGAACCAGCGGGAGAGAAGCAGAGCCACUCCGCCUGCCUGGAGACCUGUCUCCUGUACCAGCCCGACCCUCAUCCCUGACUCACUCAGCCCUGGGAGGGGAUGGAGUUGCUUUCAGAAUCCUUGCCCUUAUUAGUGGAAAUAAUCCCCCCCCCCAGAUGGAGCUUCCCGCCUCCACUCCCACCUUCUCACAAGAACGAAUAGUGUUUAAAGUUGAAAUAAUUAGAAGUAUGAUAAACACGGCCCAUUAAUGAAAAAAGAAAUCAAAUUCAUCAGCCUAAGUGGGACCCCCGGUGGGACAAAUGUUUGCCUCUAAUUAUGCAGGAUAAACGCAAACCCGGAGCUGUUCAACAAGAACCCAAAGACGCAGACUCGCAGACUCCAAUAACUUGUUGGGUUUUUUGCAGACUUGGGGUCUGCCCCCAUGGAGGCGAAAGGAAAGAAGACGUGAGGGUGAGGACUGGGAGAAGGGUUCCCUGGAAAGCACACUCGGGUGUGGGUCCCAGCUCUGACCCCCUUGGGCUCUGUCUUUCCGAGGCCAGGAGCAAAGGCCGCUUCUGUCCUAUUGUCCGUCCGGGGCCUGGCGUUCAAAGGCACUCAGGCUGCCAUGGCCAUCGGCCAUCCUGCCUGCAGCCGCUGCCGGGCGCCCACUGGCCCUGCCUACGGGGCCAAGACCCCCAGGCCUGCACCCCUAGGGAACUGGAUGGGGGUCCAGGAGACCUCUGCCUUGCUAGAGCCACCCCGUUCAGCCAUUUCCCCAACUUUCCGGGGAGUGCUGUGUCUAUGCCUGACUCCGGAGCUCCCUCUUCUUGCCUCAACUUGGGGAUGUGAACAACUAGGAGCUUCAAGCCAGAGCUGCACCUACAUUUUGACAACCCCUCCCCACCCUCAGAGCCCUGGCCCCCUGUGCCCUUCUUCCCAGUCCCUGGACCCUGGAAGGGCCGCAGGGCUGGGGAGUUGGGCCUCCUGCCGCCCGCCAGUAGGACUGUGAUCCAGAGAGGUGAGGGUGCUCCUUGCAGACUAAGUUAGGAUGGUUGGCGGGUCCCAAUAGGGCUGGGGCUGAGGGCUGGGGCGCUAGGGGUCCCCAUGUGAAAACAGAAGAAGGAAAACAUAGGGCUCAAGGAACAGAAAGGAACCUCGGCUAUUCUCCGGACUCUAGCCCUCAAAGCGCCCCAGAGCCACCCUGAUUUCUCCAAGGAAAAUUAGCAGAGUUUCCCCUUGAGGUUAAGGAAGUCAUCUAGGAAAUUCCAGAGGUGAAGUGGAAAAAAAGGAAGGGUGUCUCUCCCUUUGGGGUGAAAUAAUAAAAUAAAAUAAUUAGA